CUUUUUGAUUAUAAUUUAAGGUCUGGCCUGCCCAAUGAUAGUUUAAAUGGCCGCGGUAUACUGACCGUGCAAAGGUAGCAUAAUCAUUAGUUUUUUAAUUGAAAGCUUGUAUGAAAGGUUUGAUGGAAAAAUAACUGUCUCUGUAAAAAUUAAUUAAAAUUUUAUUUUUAAGUNAGANAGCUUAAAUUUUUAUUGAAGACGAGAAGACCCUGUAGAGUUUUAUUGUCCUUUUUAUAAAAAUUAUAGGAAUUUAAUAAUUUUUAUCUUAUAUGAUAAUUUAAUUGGGGUGAUUAAAAAAUUGAUUUAACUUUUUUUUUAUUAGUACAUUGAUUUGUGAUUUAUUGAUCCUUAUNUUAAGANUAUAAGAAUAAACUACCUUAGGGAUAACAGCGUAAUUKUUUUUGAGAGUKCAAAUCGAUAAAAGAGANNNCGACCNCGAUGUUGGAUUAAAAUGUAUUUKUGGUGUAGAAGCUAAA
RNAcentral lists this ribosomal RNA (476 nucleotides) under Cossonus linearis. RNAcentral describes it as "partial 16S ribosomal RNA". Lineage: Eukaryota; Metazoa; Arthropoda; Insecta; Coleoptera; Curculionidae. The record is from RNAcentral.